Molecule: non-coding RNA, 135 nt
Organism: Triticum aestivum (bread wheat)
Lineage: Eukaryota; Viridiplantae; Streptophyta; Magnoliopsida; Poales; Poaceae
Source: Rfam
CUUAUACUCCCUCCGUCCCAAAAUUCUUGUCUUAGAUUAGUCUAGAUACGGAUGUAUCUAAUACUAAAACGUGACUUGAUACAUCCGUAUUUAGACAAAUCUAUGACAAGAAUUUCGGGACGGAGGGAGUAUAAA